AGUGAACGCUGGCGGUAGGCCUAACACAUGCAAGUCGAACGGCAGCACAGUAAGAGCUUGCUCUUACGGGUGGCGAGUGGCGGACGGGUGAGGAAUACAUCGGAAUCUACUUUUUCGUGGGGGAUAACGUAGGGAAACUUACGCUAAUACCGCAUACGACCUACGGGUGAAAGCAGGGGAUCUUCGGACCUUGCGCGAUUGAAUGAGCCGAUGUCGGAUUAGCUAGUUGGCGGGGUAAAGGCCCACCAAGGCGACGAUCUGUAGCUGGUCUGAGAGGAUGAUCAGCCACACUGGAACUGAGACACGGUCCAGACUCCUACGGGAGGCAGCAGUGGGGAAUAUUGGACAAUGAGCGCAAGCCUGAUCCAGCCAUACCGCGUGGGUGAAGAAGGCCUUCGGGUUUUAAAGCCCUUUUGUUGGGAAAGAAAAGCAGCAGGUUAAUACCCCGCUGUUCUGACGGUACCCAAAGAAUAAGCACCGGCUAACUUCGUG
This 492-nucleotide ribosomal RNA is filed under the name uncultured bacterium. Its description in RNAcentral is "partial 16S ribosomal RNA". It matches the Rfam family "Bacterial small subunit ribosomal RNA", at positions 29 to 507 of the family's 1533-position model. The record is from RNAcentral.